GGUCUCGUAGGUGACCUGCGGAGGGAUCAUUACAAGAACGCCCGGGCUUCGGCCUGGUUAUUCAUAACCCUUUGUUGUCCGACUCUGUUGCCUCCGGGGCGACCCUGCCUUCGGGCGGGGGCUCCGGGUGGACACUUCAAACUCUUGCGUAACUUUGCAGUCUGAGUAAACUUAAUUAAUAAAUUAAAACUUUUAACAACGGAUCUCUUGGUUCUGGCAUCGAUGAAGAACGCAGCGAAAUGCGAUAAGUAAUGUGAAUUGCAGAAUUCAGUGAAUCAUCGAAUCUUUGAACGCACAUUGCGCCCCCUGGUAUUCCGGGGGGCAUGCCUGUUCGAGCGUCAUUUCACCACUCAAGCCUCGCUUGGUAUUGGGCAACGCGGUCCGCCGCGUGCCUCAAAUCGUCCGGCUGGGUCUUCUGUCCCCUAAGCGUUGUGGAAACUAUUCGCUAAAGGGUGUUCGGGAGGCUACGCCGUAAAACAACCCCAUUUCUAAGGUUGACCUCGGAUCAGGUAGGGAUACCCGCUGAACUUAAGCAUAUCAAUA
RNAcentral lists this unclassified non-coding RNA (543 nucleotides) under Cladosporium iridis. Its description in RNAcentral is "sequence contains ITS1, 5.8S rRNA gene, ITS2". The stretch from base 188 to 341 matches the Rfam family "5.8S ribosomal RNA". Lineage: Eukaryota; Fungi; Ascomycota; Dothideomycetes; Cladosporiales; Cladosporiaceae. The record is from RNAcentral.